RNAcentral lists this ribosomal RNA (459 nucleotides) under uncultured bacterium. Its description in RNAcentral is "partial 16S ribosomal RNA". It matches the Rfam family "Bacterial small subunit ribosomal RNA", at positions 338 to 795 of the family's 1533-position model. The record is from RNAcentral.
CCUACGGGUGACAGCAGUGAGGAAUAUUGGUCAAUGGGCGGGAGCCUGAACCAGCCAAGCCGCGUGAGGGAAGAAGGUACAGCGUAUCGUAAACCUCUUUUGUCAGGGAACAAAGGCGGGGACUAGUCCCCGGAUGAGGGUACCUGAAGAAAAAGCAUCGGCUAACUCCGUGCCAGCAGCCGCGGUAAUGCGGAGGAUGCGAGCGUUAUCCGGAUGUAUUGGGUUUCAAGGGUGCGCAGGCGGCCUGUUAAGUCAGCGGUAAAAGCCCGGGGCUCAACCCCGGCGAGCCGUUGAAACUGGCGGUCUGGAGUUGGAGAGAAGUACGCGGAAUGCGCGGUGUAGCGGUGAAAUGCUUAGAUAUCGCGCAGAACCCCGAUUGCGAAGGCAGCGUGCCGGCUCCACACUGACGCUGAGGCACGAAAGCGUGGGUAUCGAACAGGAUUAGAUACCCUGGUAGUC